CGAAUGGGGCAACCCGGCAUGCUGAAGGCAUGUCACCGCGCAAGCGGGGCGAACCCGGCGAACUGAAACAUCUAAGUAGCCGGAGGAAGAGAAAACAAGAGUGAUUCCGGGAGUAGCGGCGAGCGAAACCGGAAGAGUCCAAACCGGCCAUGUUCCGGCAUGGCCGGGGUUGUAGGACCGCGACGUUCGGACAGCGAUGAACUAGAGCCCGUUGGAAAGCGGGGCCAUAGGCGGUGAUAGCCCGGUAUAGGCAAAGAGCUGCGAGAUAGCGGUAUCCUGAGUAGUGCGGGGCACGUGAAACCCUGCAUGAACCCGCCGGG
Molecule: ribosomal RNA, 320 nt
Filed under: uncultured bacterium
Lineage: Bacteria
Description: bacterial LSU rRNA
Rfam family: Bacterial large subunit ribosomal RNA
Source: RNAcentral